Molecule: long non-coding RNA, 822 nt
Organism: Lucilia cuprina (Australian sheep blowfly)
Lineage: Eukaryota; Metazoa; Arthropoda; Insecta; Diptera; Calliphoridae
Exons: 2
Source: RefSeq, a predicted model, not a curated record
CCAACACGCAGAGAGUUGCCCCAACAUAACAAACGAACGAAGUGAUUUUAUAGAAAUUCGGUAUUUUAGUAGAUACGCGAACUCUAUACGGUAAACACGUUGAGGACGGAUAAGGAACGUCUUUUUGCUUUUUAUUUUUUCGUUAGAUAUUUGAAGUAAAAGUUUGAAGACGUGUGAGAAAAGAUAAAAUCCGAAAAAAAAUUAAAAAAAGAAUAGAAACGAUAAUAAAAAUCUAUACGAAGUAUUUGCGGUAAUUACGGUUAACGAAAUGUAAAAACAAAAAAAUAUUACAAUGUGCAAAAAACGUAUAGGCAAACGAGCUUAACGAUUUUAAAGUCAAAUGUAUAUACGUUUAAUAAAACGAUUAUAGUGCAAAAGCUCAAGUGUUAAUACUAUAAAAGAUUUGUUAAAAAAAAUUAAAAUUCUACUAAAAUAAAGAAAAAUUUAAAACAAAAUGUUGAGUUUUGCCAGAUUUUUUAUUGAGGAAUAUUAAAAAAUUUAAACAAAUCAAAAAAUAUCUUUUGAAUAAGCUGCUCAAAGCUACUAAAAGAUAAACAACCACAAAAACAUUUGUUUACAACAACAAGUCAUACUGUUUAAAACAAGAAAUAAAAGAUUCAUUGGAAAACAAAAUUCACAACGAAUAACAACUUAAUUUAAUAAAAGUAAAUAAUAAACAAAAAAGAAAAUCGGCAAACAACAUAUCAGUGUGAAAAAUAUAUAUAACAAAAUAAAAAAAGCUAUUCAGAAAAAAUCUGUUUAAAUAUAAAUAAUUAAGUCUGCAAAAGUCUAAAGUCUACCAAUACUAUUCAAAUAUACAUA